RNAcentral lists this transfer RNA (74 nucleotides) under Aedes aegypti (yellow fever mosquito). Its description in RNAcentral is "partial tRNA-OTHER". The stretch from base 10 to 68 matches the Rfam family "tRNA", at positions 7 to 64 of the family's 71-position model. From Rfam's summary of the family: Transfer RNA (tRNA) molecules are approximately 80 nucleotides in length. Their secondary structure includes four short double-helical elements and three loops (D, anti-codon, and T loops). Lineage: Eukaryota; Metazoa; Arthropoda; Insecta; Diptera; Culicidae. The record is from RNAcentral.
GAUCACCAAGUGGCUCAGUUGGUAAAGCGCUCGUCUAGAAUACAAGAGUCCUGGGUACAAAUCCCAGCCGAGCA